Molecule: long non-coding RNA, 906 nt
Filed under: Marmota monax (woodchuck)
Lineage: Eukaryota; Metazoa; Chordata; Mammalia; Rodentia; Sciuridae
Source: RNAcentral
CAGGACAUGAAUCAUCCCUUUGUCCAAAAUAUACAUGCUGUAUACGCUGCCAGCCCAUGAGCUGCUUAUUAGACAUCCUGGUAGUCAGAUCUGCUGUUGUGGUGUAUAAUGCUUGUGUUCCAGUAACCCUUAUUUUACUUUGGGACCAUUAUUGUCCCAAAGCACAAGAGUAAUGAAACUGGAAAUUUGUGUAUGUCAAAGAGAAGCCCUGAAGUGCUUUCUUUAAGUAGAAAUGUGAAAAUUUAUCAUAGGAAUGUAUUAAGGGGGAUAAACACGGUACAGUAUGUAUAGGGUUUGGAACUAGCCUCUGUUUCAGGAAUCCACUGAGGGUCUUGGAAUGGAUCCUGUGUGGCUAAUGAGGGACUCCUGUCAUUCAAUUAGACUGCUUUUAUAACUAUUAGAUUAGAUCACACCAAGAGAAUAAGGAGCAAUGAACAUUUAGUAAGAGGGCAAAAGUAAGAGAGGUUCAGGGAAGCCAGAAGACCUGAGAGCACUGGAAUCCUAGGUAGGGAUGAAGAGGGAUGGAGUCAGAAAGUAAGUAAACAAAGGUGGAAAAAUACCAAAAAUAGGUAUUAUUUCUUUCUUUCCCUUAUGGUCUUUUCUGGGCUACUUACAUCCCACUUUUCCCCCCUACUCUUGUCCCUGUCUCAUUGUGGUAGAAGUAAAAACCAAACUAGCAUCUUUUUUCCCCCCAAAUGUGCUGUAACCAAUUUAUUACAAAGAAUAUAUUAAAGGGUACAAAUAACAGCUGGAUGAUGAAAUACAAAGGGUGAGUUUGAAUGGGUCCUGAGCACAGGAUCUUCUGAGCCCAUGGAGUUCUGGGGUGUGCCACUCACGUAUCUCAUGAAUGCAUUCUUGUCUGCUAACUGGGAAAUUUGCUGAGCCUCAUCCUUUUGGGUUUUUUGG